GCCCCGGUAGUAUAGCCCGGUCAAACACAAAGUGUCGAGAGUAUGCCGGCCUUUCGAGUCGGCGACCCGGGUUCGAAUCCCGGCCGGGGCA
RNAcentral lists this transfer RNA (91 nucleotides) under Nitrososphaerota archaeon. RNAcentral describes it as "tRNA-Glu". It matches the Rfam family "tRNA". Rfam says of the family: Transfer RNA (tRNA) molecules are approximately 80 nucleotides in length. The record is from RNAcentral. Lineage: Archaea; Thermoproteati; Nitrososphaerota.